CUACGGAGGAUCCGAGCGUUAUCCGGAUUUAUUGGGUUUAAAGGGUGCGCAGGCGGCCAUUUAAGUCAGCGGUUAAAUCGUGGGGCUCAACCCCAUUCUGCCGUUGAUACUGGGUGGCUUGAUUGCGGUCGAGGUUGGCGGAAUUCGUUGUGUAGCGGUGAAAUGCAUAGAUAUGACGAAGAACACCGAUUGCGUAGGCAGCUGACCAGAUCGCAAAUGACGCUCAUGCACGAAAGUGCGGGGAUCGAACAGGAUUAGAUACCCUGGUAGUCCGCACAGUAAACGAUGAAUACUUGUUUUCGGCGAUAUAAUGUCGGAGGCAAAGCGAAAGCGAUAAGUAUUCCACCUGGGGAGUACGCCGGCAACGGUGAAACUCAAAUGAAUUGGCGGGG
This 392-nucleotide ribosomal RNA is filed under the name uncultured bacterium. Its description in RNAcentral is "partial 16S ribosomal RNA". It matches the Rfam family "Bacterial small subunit ribosomal RNA", at positions 523 to 918 of the family's 1533-position model. The record is from RNAcentral.